RNAcentral lists this ribosomal RNA (433 nucleotides) under uncultured bacterium. Its description in RNAcentral is "partial 16S ribosomal RNA". It matches the Rfam family "Bacterial small subunit ribosomal RNA", at positions 29 to 507 of the family's 1533-position model. The record is from RNAcentral.
AGCGAACGCUGGCGGCAGGCCUAACACAUGCAAGUCGAACGAACUCUUCGGAGUUAGUGGCGGUCGGGUGAGUAACACGUGGGAACGUGCCUUUUGGUUCGGAAUAACUCAGGGUAACUUGUGCUAAUACCGAAUGUGCCCUUCUGGGGAAAGAUUUAUCGCCAUUAGAGCGGCCCGCGUCUGAUUCGCUAGUUGGUGAGGUAACGGCUCACCAAGGCGACGAUCAGUAGCUGGUCUGAGAGGAUGACCAGCCACACUGGGACUGAGACGCGGCCCAGACUACUACGGGAGGGAGGAGUGGGGAAUCGAGCGAAAGGGGCGAAAGCAUGACGGAGCCAGGGCGCGAGAAUGAUGAAGGUGUUAGGAAAGAAAAAUACUUUCACCGGGGACGAUAAUGACGGUACCCGGAGAAGAAGCCCCGGCUAACUUCGUG